Molecule: ribosomal RNA, 253 nt
Filed under: uncultured bacterium
Lineage: Bacteria
Description: partial 16S ribosomal RNA
Rfam family: Bacterial small subunit ribosomal RNA
Source: RNAcentral
UACGGAGGAUCCAAGCGUUAUCCGGAAUCAUUGGGUUUAAAGGGUCCGUAGGCGGGCUUAUAAGUCAGUGGUGAAAUCUCCCAGCUCAACUGGGAAACGGCCAUUGAUACUGCUGGGCUUGAAUUAUUAGGAAGUAACUAGAAUAUGUAGUGUAGCGGUGAAAUGCUUAGAUAUUACAUGGAAUACCAAUUGCGAAGGCAGGUUACUACUAAUGGAUUGACGCUGAUGGACGAAAGCGUGGGGAGCGAACAGG